AUGAAGUUUUAGUGACUGAGUGGCGGACGGGUGAGUAACGCGUGGGUAACCUGCCUCACACAGGGGGAUAACAGUUGGAAACGGCUGCUAAUACCGCAUAAGCGCACAGUACCGCAUGGUACAGUGUGAAAAACUCCGGUGGUGUGAGAUGGACCCGCGUCUGAUUAGCUAGUUGGCAGGGCAACGGCCUACCAAGGCGACGAUCAGUAGCCGACCUGAGAGGGUGACCGGCCACAUUGGGACUGAGACACGGCCCAAACUCCUGCGGGAGGCAGCAGUGGGGAAUAUUGCACAAUGGGGGAAACCCUGAUGCAGCGACGCCGCGUGAGCGAAGAAGUAUUUCGGUAUGUAAAGCUCUAUCAGCAGGGAAGAAGAAAUGACGGUACCUGACUAAGGAGCACCGGCUAAAUACGUGCCAGCAGCCGCGGUAAUACGUAUGGUGCAAGCGUUAUCCGGAUUUACUGGGUGUAAAGGGAGCGCAGGCGGAAGGCUAAGUCUGAUGUGAAAGCCCGGGGCUCAACCCAGGUACUGCAUUGGAAACUGGUCAUCUAGAGUGUCGGAGGGGUAAGUGGAAUUCCUAGUGUAGCGGUGAAAUGCGUAGAUAUUAGGAGGAACACCAGUGGCGAAGGCGGCUUACU
Molecule: ribosomal RNA, 638 nt
Filed under: uncultured bacterium
Lineage: Bacteria
Description: bacterial SSU rRNA
Rfam family: Bacterial small subunit ribosomal RNA
Source: RNAcentral